RNAcentral lists this unclassified non-coding RNA (454 nucleotides) under uncultured fungus. RNAcentral's name for it is "sequence contains ITS2". The stretch from base 1 to 52 matches the Rfam family "5.8S ribosomal RNA", at positions 103 to 154 of the family's 154-position model. Lineage: Eukaryota; Fungi. The record is from RNAcentral.
AACGCACCUUGCGCCCUUUGGUAUUCCGAAGGGCAUGCCUGUUUGAGUGUCAUUAAAUUCUCAACCUUGACCAGUUUGUUGAAGUGGCUUGACUGGACUAGUCUGUUCUUUCAAAGCGAAAGCUUUGGUUUGGAGGGUUUGCAGGCUUUGUACUGCUCUCUCUGCGCUAGUUCGGAGGCUACUAUCAGUUUGGAGCUUUGAAUGCCUUUGUUUGCGUACUUGCUCUGUGCUGGACUCAAGGAUUGGAUGUGAGGGUAUUGCUGGCUUCCUUUAGUGGCGGUCUGCUCCCUUUAAAUGUAUUAGUGGGAUCCUGUGUGAAGGGUUCACUUGGUGUGAUAAUUCUACGCCUUUUGAAUCUGAAGCCAAAUCAAUGGAACCUGCUUCUAACCGUCCGCAAGGACAACUACACUUUGACUUUGACCUCAAAUCAGGUAGGACUACCCGCUGAACUUAA